UCCCCAGACUCCUACGGGAGGCAGCAGUGGGGAAUAUUGCACAAUGGGGGGAACCCUGAUGCAGCGACGCCGCGUGGGUGAAGGAGCACCUCGGUGCGUAAAGCCCUAUCGGCAGGGAAGAAAAGCGAACAGGUUCGCCUGGACGGUACCUGACUAAGAAGCCCCGGCUAACUACGUGCCAGCAGCCGCGGUAAUACGUAGGGGGCAAGCGUUAUCCGGAUUUACUGGGUGUAAAGGGAGCGUAGACGGUAGAGCAAGUCUGAAGUGAAAGCCCGCGGCUCAACUGCGGGACUGCUUUGGAAACUGUUCAACUGGAGUGCUGGAGAGGUAAGCGGAAUUCCUAGUGUAGCGGUGAAAUGCGUAGAUAUUAGGAGGAACACCAGUGGCGAAGGCGGCUUACUGGACAGUAACUGACGUUGAGGCUCGAAAGCGUGGGGAGCAAACAGGAUUAGAUACCCUAGUAU
This 464-nucleotide ribosomal RNA is filed under the name uncultured bacterium. RNAcentral's name for it is "bacterial SSU rRNA". It matches the Rfam family "Bacterial small subunit ribosomal RNA", at positions 328 to 793 of the family's 1533-position model. The record is from RNAcentral.